GCCGCCUGCCGAACUGACCCGGGUCUGGGGACUGGCCCCUCUGGCGCCGUUCGGUUUCUCUUAUUGCCUUCACUGAGGAUGAGUCCCUUUGUGGCUCUAUGUGGACCCUGCGGAAUCCACCGGCGCAGUUUCAUCUAGCGACUGGUCACCCUUGCAAUUAUGGAUAUUUAAAAGGGUCAGACAGUGUGGAGGGGGAGUUCCCCUCCUCACUCCCCCUUGGUGCUUGACUCCAGGAAUAAUUUAUAAACUGUGGAAUUUUUUUAAAUGAAGAACUUGUAUUUGAUAUGAACUUUAUAGAGCUAUUUAUAAUUUUUUUGAUUUAA
Molecule: long non-coding RNA, 323 nt
Filed under: Pan troglodytes (chimpanzee)
Lineage: Eukaryota; Metazoa; Chordata; Mammalia; Primates; Hominidae
Description: long non-coding RNA NONPTRT015228
Source: RNAcentral